This is a long non-coding RNA of Thalassophryne amazonica, 389 nucleotides long. RefSeq lists it as uncharacterized. NCBI's taxonomy places the organism in Eukaryota, Metazoa, Chordata, Actinopteri, Batrachoidiformes, Batrachoididae. The transcript has 3 exons. The record is from RefSeq and is a predicted model, not a curated record.
AGAUUCUGCACAUCUUCUGAAUCAGACUUUUCCCUGACUAUACAGUGACAGCACAGGAUGAAUUCAGCAGCAGGAAUCAGCAGGUGGAGAAGAAGCUGCUGCACAGAGACAGAACGGUUUCCAGCCGCAUGGCGCCUUCCUGAUGUUUAGCCUGAGGGUGUGACAGACAGGAAGUGAUGUUAUCACAGCGUUUGAUCAGCAGCAUCACAGGAACAUGAGUAUCAGAGAGCAGCUCAGAGGUUUCACCGUGCCGCUGCUGGAUUACAUGGCGGUAAAUGGGCUCGGGAACAUCUGUACAUGGAAGGUGGCAUGACACGGAGCUGAUCACCACACCUGCCAUUCAUCAAACCAGCUGCAUUUAAACCCCAGUUCAACUCCUCCACCUUCAC